AUUAAAGAUUCAACAUUCUUGAAC
RNAcentral lists this non-coding RNA (24 nucleotides) under Arabidopsis thaliana (thale cress). Lineage: Eukaryota; Viridiplantae; Streptophyta; Magnoliopsida; Brassicales; Brassicaceae. The record is from RNAcentral.